GACGAACGCUGGCGGCGUGCUUAACACAUGCAAGUCGAACGGAAAGGCCCUGCUUUUGUGGGGUGCUCGAGUGGCGAACGGGUGAGUAACACGGGAGUAACCUGCCCUUGACUUUGGGAUAACUUCAGGAAACUGGGGCUAAUACCGGAUAGGAGCUCCUGCUGCAUGGUGGGGGUUGGAAAGUUUGGGCGGUUGGGGAUGGACUCGCGGCUUAUCAGCUUGUUGGUGGGGUAGUGGCUUACCAAGGCUUUGACGGAUAGCCGGCCUGAGAGGGUGACCGGCCACAUUGGGACUGAGGUACGGCCCAGAGUCCUACGGGAGGCAGCAGGGGGGAAUAUUGCACAAUGGGCGGAAGCGUGAUGCAGCAGCGCCGCGUGCGGGAUGACGGCCUUCGGGUUGUAAACCGCUUUCGCCUGUGACGAAGCGUGAGUGACGGUAAUGGGUAAAGAAGCACCGGCUAACUACGUG
RNAcentral lists this ribosomal RNA (468 nucleotides) under uncultured bacterium. RNAcentral's name for it is "partial 16S ribosomal RNA". It matches the Rfam family "Bacterial small subunit ribosomal RNA", at positions 28 to 507 of the family's 1533-position model. The record is from RNAcentral.